AACGAACGCUGGCGGCAUGCCUAACACAUGCAAGUCGAACGAAACCUUCGGGUCUAGUGUCGCACGGGUGCGUAACGCGUGGGAACCUGCCCUUAGGUUCGGACUACCUCCCCGAAAGGGGUGCUAAUACCGGAUAAUGUCUUCUGACCAAGGAUUUAUCGCCUUUGGAUGGUCCCGCGUUGGAUUAGCUAGUUGGUAGGGUAAAAGCUUACCAAGGCGACGAUCCAUAGCUGGUCUGAGAGGAUGCUCAGCCACACUGGGACUGAGACACGGCCCAGAAUCCUACGGGAGGGAGGAGAGGGGAACAGAGGAAAAUGGGCGAAAGGCUGAGCCAGCAAGGACGGGUGAGUGAUGAAGGCCGUAGGGUUGUAAAGCGCUUGUAACCGGGAUGAUAAUGACAGUACCGGGAGAAUAAGCGCCGGCUAACUACGUG
This 433-nucleotide ribosomal RNA is filed under the name uncultured bacterium. RNAcentral's name for it is "partial 16S ribosomal RNA". It matches the Rfam family "Bacterial small subunit ribosomal RNA", at positions 29 to 507 of the family's 1533-position model. The record is from RNAcentral.